This 339-nucleotide RNase P RNA is filed under the name Candidatus Sordicultor aquaticus. RNAcentral's name for it is "RNase P RNA component class A". It matches the Rfam family "Bacterial RNase P class A". Rfam says of the family: Ribonuclease P (RNase P) is a ubiquitous endoribonuclease, found in archaea, bacteria and eukarya as well as chloroplasts and mitochondria. Its best characterised activity is the generation of mature 5'-ends of tRNAs by cleaving the 5'-leader elements of precursor-tRNAs. The record is from RNAcentral. Lineage: Bacteria; Pseudomonadati; Atribacterota; Atribacteria; Atribacterales; Candidatus Caldatribacteriaceae.
GAAGUAGGCCGGGCAACCGCAGGAGAAAUCCUGAGGAAAGUCCGAGCUCCACAGAGCAGGGUACUGGGUAACACCCAGGGGAGGCAACUCCCGGAAAGUGCCACAGAAAAAAUACCGCCAUAAAAGGCAAGGGUGAAAAGGCGAGGUAAGAGCUCACCGGACGUCGAGCAAUCGGCGUGCCUGGCAAACCCUACCCGGAGCAAGGCCAAAUAGGAAGGGAUGAGGUGGCUCGCUGACCUUCGGGUUGGCCGCUCGAGGGGGUUAGGUAACUAACCCCCCAGAUAGAUGGUUGUCGUUCCUACGGGAAUACAGAACUCGGCUUAUAGGCCUACUUUCUCC